AAGAGCUCGUAGGCGGUCUGUCGCGUCUGCUGUGAAAACCUCAGGCUCAACCUGGGGCUUGCAGUGGGUACGGGCAGACUAGAGUGCGGUAGGGGUGACUGGAAUUCCUGGUGUAGCGGUGGAAUGCGCAGAUAUCAGGAGGAACACCGAUGGCGAAGGCAGGUCACUGGGCCGCAACUGACGCUGAGGAGCGAAAGCAUGGGGAGCGAACAGGAUUAGAUACCCUGGUAGUCCAUGCCGUAAACGUUGGGCACUAGGUGUGGGGUCCAUUCCACGGAUUCCGUGCCGCAGCAAACGCAUUAAGUGCCCCGCCUGGGGAGUACGGCCGCAAGGCUAAAACUCAAAGAAAUUGACGGGGGCCCGCACAAGCGGCGGAGCAUGCGGAUUAAUUCGAUGCAACGCGAAGAACCUUACCAAGGCUUGACAUGCACCGGUAACACUCAGAGAUGGGUGCCCCGCAAGGUCGGUGCACAGGUGGUGCAUGGUUGUCGUCAGCUCGUGUCGUGAGAUGUUGGGUUAAGUCCCGCAACGAGCGCAACCCUCGUCCUCAUGUUGCCAGCGGGUUAUGCCGGGGACUCAUGGGAGACUGCCGGGGUCAACUCGGAGGAAGGUGGGGAUGACGUCAAAUCAUCAUGCCCCUUAUGUCUUGGGCUUCACGCAUGCUACAAUGGCCGGUACAAAGGGCUGCGAUAUCCGCGAGGUGGAGCGAAUCCCAAAAAACCUCGGUCUCAGUUCGGAUUGGGGUCUGCAACUCGACCUCCAUGAAGUCGGAGUCGCUAGUAAUCGCAGAUCAGCAACGCUGCGGUGAAUACGUUUCCCGGGCCUUGUACACACCGCCUCGUCAAGUCAUGAAAGUCGGUAACACCCGAAGCCGGUGGC
Molecule: ribosomal RNA, 879 nt
Filed under: Cellulomonas sp.
Lineage: Bacteria; Bacillati; Actinomycetota; Actinomycetes; Micrococcales; Cellulomonadaceae
Description: bacterial SSU rRNA
Rfam family: Bacterial small subunit ribosomal RNA
Source: RNAcentral